RNAcentral lists this ribosomal RNA (1520 nucleotides) under Klebsiella pneumoniae. RNAcentral describes it as "bacterial SSU rRNA". It matches the Rfam family "Bacterial small subunit ribosomal RNA". RNAcentral also lists the same sequence under 3 other names. Lineage: Bacteria; Pseudomonadati; Pseudomonadota; Gammaproteobacteria; Enterobacterales; Enterobacteriaceae. The record is from RNAcentral.
AGAGUUUGAUCAUGGCUCAGAUUGAACGCUGGCGGCAGGCCUAACACAUGCAAGUCGAGCGGUAGCACAGAGAGCUUGCUCUCGGGUGACGAGCGGCGGACGGGUGAGUAAUGUCUGGGAAACUGCCUGAUGGAGGGGGAUAACUACUGGAAACGGUAGCUAAUACCGCAUAAUGUCGCAAGACCAAAGUGGGGGACCUUCGGGCCUCAUGCCAUCAGAUGUGCCCAGAUGGGAUUAGCUAGUAGGUGGGGUAACGGCUCACCUAGGCGACGAUCCCUAGCUGGUCUGAGAGGAUGACCAGCCACACUGGAACUGAGACACGGUCCAGACUCCUACGGGAGGCAGCAGUGGGGAAUAUUGCACAAUGGGCGCAAGCCUGAUGCAGCCAUGCCGCGUGUGUGAAGAAGGCCUUCGGGUUGUAAAGCACUUUCAGCGGGGAGGAAGGCGUUAAGGUUAAUAACCUUGGCGAUUGACGUUACCCGCAGAAGAAGCACCGGCUAACUCCGUGCCAGCAGCCGCGGUAAUACGGAGGGUGCAAGCGUUAAUCGGAAUUACUGGGCGUAAAGCGCACGCAGGCGGUCUGUCAAGUCGGAUGUGAAAUCCCCGGGCUCAACCUGGGAACUGCAUUCGAAACUGGCAGGCUAGAGUCUUGUAGAGGGGGGUAGAAUUCCAGGUGUAGCGGUGAAAUGCGUAGAGAUCUGGAGGAAUACCGGUGGCGAAGGCGGCCCCCUGGACAAAGACUGACGCUCAGGUGCGAAAGCGUGGGGAGCAAACAGGAUUAGAUACCCUGGUAGUCCACGCCGUAAACGAUGUCGAUUUGGAGGUUGUGCCCUUGAGGCGUGGCUUCCGGAGCUAACGCGUUAAAUCGACCGCCUGGGGAGUACGGCCGCAAGGUUAAAACUCAAAUGAAUUGACGGGGGCCCGCACAAGCGGUGGAGCAUGUGGUUUAAUUCGAUGCAACGCGAAGAACCUUACCUGGUCUUGACAUCCACAGAACUUUCCAGAGAUGGAUUGGUGCCUUCGGGAACUGUGAGACAGGUGCUGCAUGGCUGUCGUCAGCUCGUGUUGUGAAAUGUUGGGUUAAGUCCCGCAACGAGCGCAACCCUUAUCCUUUGUUGCCAGCGGUCCGGCCGGGAACUCAAAGGAGACUGCCAGUGAUAAACUGGAGGAAGGUGGGGAUGACGUCAAGUCAUCAUGGCCCUUACGACCAGGGCUACACACGUGCUACAAUGGCAUAUACAAAGAGAAGCGACCUCGCGAGAGCAAGCGGACCUCAUAAAGUAUGUCGUAGUCCGGAUUGGAGUCUGCAACUCGACUCCAUGAAGUCGGAAUCGCUAGUAAUCGUAGAUCAGAAUGCUACGGUGAAUACGUUCCCGGGCCUUGUACACACCGCCCGUCACACCAUGGGAGUGGGUUGCAAAAGAAGUAGGUAGCUUAACCUUCGGGAGGGCGCUUACCACUUUGUGAUUCAUGACUGGGGUGAAGUCGUAACAAGGUAACCGUAGGGGAACCUGCGGUUG